RNAcentral lists this ribosomal RNA (382 nucleotides) under uncultured eukaryote. RNAcentral's name for it is "partial 18S ribosomal RNA". It matches the Rfam family "Eukaryotic small subunit ribosomal RNA", at positions 592 to 976 of the family's 1831-position model. The record is from RNAcentral.
UGUAAGCGUAUACCAAAGUUGUUGCAGUUAAAACGCUCGUAGUCGGAAUUUGGCAGUUCCGGAUGUGUGCACGUCGUGUGCGCACUUCGCGGGGAUUGCUUUUGUGGUCUUGCGUAGGAUGAGGCACUUUUAUUAGUGAACGUCCUCACGCAACCACUUUUUACUGUGAGAAAAUCAGAGUGCUCAAAGCAGGCAUUUGCCGUGAAUGUAUUAGCAUGGAAUAAUAGAAUAGGACUUGGUUCUAUUUUGUUGGUUUGUUGGGACUGAGUAACGAUUAAGAGGGACAGUUGGGGGCAUUUGUAUUUCGGUGCUAGAGGUGAAAUUCUUAGAUUACCGAAAGACAAACUGCUGCGAAAGCGUCUGCCAAGGAUGUUUUCAUUGA